GAUGAACGCUGGCGGCGUGCCUAAUACAUGCAAGUCGAGCGAACAGACGAGGAGCUUGCUCCUCUGACGUUAGCGGCGGACGGGUGAGUAACACGUGGAUAACCUACCUAUAAGACUGGGAUAACUUCGGGAAACCGGAGCUAAUACCGGAUAAUAUAUUGAACCGCAUGGUUCAAUAGUGAAAGACGGUUUUGCUGUCACUUAUAGAUGGAUCCGCGCCGCAUUAGCUAGUUGGUAAGGUAACGGCUUACCAAGGCGACGAUGCGUAGCCGACCUGAGAGGGUGAUCGGCCACACUGGAACUGAGACACGGUCCAGACUCUUACGGGAGGCAGCAGUAGGGAAUCUUCCGCAAUGGGCGAAAGCCUGACGGAGCAACGCCGCGUGAGUGAUGAAGGUCUUCGGAUCGUAAAACUCUGUUAUUAGGGAAGAACAAAUGUGUAAGUAACUAUGCACGUCUUGACGGUACCUAAUCAGAAAGCCACGGCUAACUACGUG
Molecule: ribosomal RNA, 497 nt
Filed under: uncultured bacterium
Lineage: Bacteria
Description: partial 16S ribosomal RNA
Rfam family: Bacterial small subunit ribosomal RNA
Source: RNAcentral